GAUGAAGAACGCAGCGAAAUGCGAUAAGUAAUGUGAAUUGCAGAAUUCAGUGAAUCAUCGAAUCUUUGAACGCACAUUGCGCCCGCCAGUAUUCUGGCGAGCAUGCCUGUUCGAGCGUCAUUUCAACCAUCAAGCCCCAGGCUUGUGUUGGAACCCUGCGGCUGCCGCAGCCUCCCAAAACCAGUGGCGGGCUCGCUAUCACACCGAGUGCAGUAGUUUACUCUUCGCUCAGGGCGUGUGGCGGGUGCUAGCCGUGAAACCCCCAACUUCUCAAGGUUGACCUCGGAUCAGGUAGGAAUACCCGCUGAACUUAAGCAUAUCAAUAAGCGGAGGA
This 334-nucleotide unclassified non-coding RNA is filed under the name soil metagenome. RNAcentral's name for it is "partial contains 5.8S ribosomal RNA, internal transcribed spacer 2, and large subunit ribosomal RNA". The stretch from base 1 to 120 matches the Rfam family "5.8S ribosomal RNA", at positions 35 to 154 of the family's 154-position model. The record is from RNAcentral.